This is a long non-coding RNA of Myotis daubentonii (Daubenton's bat), 2164 nucleotides long. RefSeq lists it as uncharacterized. Lineage: Eukaryota; Metazoa; Chordata; Mammalia; Chiroptera; Vespertilionidae. The transcript has 2 exons. The record is from RefSeq and is a predicted model, not a curated record.
GCUCGGGAGGGCCAGAGAGCGCUCGUUCCUCUCGCCCCGGGAGGGCUGGGGUCGGCGGGGUCUGGAGCACGCGCUUCAGCGACACAAGAUGCGGUCGUCCGCCGGGACACACGCCGCCUGUGAAACGGAGAGAGAAGAGCUCCAUUUUACAGAUGAGAGAAACUGAGCCCGGAUGAAGAAGCGGCUGGCUCUGGGUCGCCCAGAGAGCCUGGGCUUCUGGAACCUGUUGGAAGACGACUUCUGGGACCCUGAUCUCGCGAAUAUUUGGUCCGAAAGUAAAGCGGGCCCUCCUUUCACACUCUGAACUGGGGCUCGUCUCUCUUUCCCAAUUGCCAGGGAGUGUUAAUGUCCUGGGACCAGGGCGACUUACCCAGGCCCCUCGGGGUGGGAGCACUUAAUUUGGGAAAGUCUUCCCCUAGGACUGGGGGCUGGGCCUCUGGGACCUGAACUGGAUAGAUGGCUUCCAGAGUGGGGCUGCAUCUCCUCAUUCUACUCUGAAUUUGCAGCCCCUUGCAAAAAUUCCCUAAAUCUGCAUCAACUAGUGAUUUUUAAAUUUUUCUCCCCUUUUUUCGGAGGUUUCCCCUCUAAAAAAGAUUUCGGAUCAGGUUCUCCCACAGCGCGGCAGCUGCAGAGCUCGAGUCCCCCUCUCCUCCCACCCUCCCCCCGCCGGGCUUCCCGGGCUGGUCUGUGUCAGCGUCUGAACAAGAGGCUCAGACCGUUAGACGCCAGGCCCGUGACGUCACCCAUUCAUAAAACCUGGACGGGCUGUCAGGCUGGCGCCGCGCGGGCGGUCGCCAUGGAGACGGCAAACCCGGCUCCCGGCGCUACUCGGGGCCCCGCCAGUCACCUGCGGACCUCCGGCAGGAGGCCUGGGAAUGGGCUCCUCACGGGCGCGGUCGCCGGGCAAGGGUCACCUUACCUCCCGCCCCACACCUGGAAUCUCCCCACCAGGCCCACGGCUUGGGCCGCUUGGGAGGUUUCCUCACCGCCUCCUCCCCAUCUCCAGUUCCCCUUACUGCCUGGGGAAAGGGGCCCGAGUCCCGAUUCCAGCUCUGCUGCUGGGUGAAUUUAGUGGUGUCUCAAGCCCUCUGAGCCAUACUAUCUGCCUGGUAUUUUGAUGAUAAUCACACAAGUGACGAUUUAUUGCGUUCUUACUUCCUGCCAGGCAGGCACUGUGUGAAGAGUUUGCCUGCAUCCUCUUCUGGAAUCCUUGCUACAACUCCAAAGAGAGGAGCUGUUUGGUUUCUUUAUACAAAGGAGGAAACUGAGGCUCAACAAGCCUCCCAGGAGCCGCACUGUUGUAAUGGCUGCAUUGUUAAUAACAAGGGCACUUCAUUGUAAUGCAGCCACGUCCAGUCUGCCUCCAGAACCUUAGAUGGACCAGAGCUGUGGAAACCGCAUAGCCACCCGAAGUAUGAGGAGGCUAAAAUUCUGCGCUCACACAGGAGGGGAUGAUAUUACCCCCCCCCCCUACACACACACACACACACACACACACACACACACACACACCAAUUAAUUCACUGGGUGUCAGGUUUCCUUUUUCUACAGAAGUUUGCAGAAGGGGGUCAAUAAACCAGCCCACUGCAUCCACAUGAGGAAACCAGGAAAACUGAUCAGGGAGACUAGCUUCAAAGGAGAGACAUCAUCAAUUAAUUAGCUGGACUCCCCAUCCUCUUAUGACACCCCGCAAGCUCUCCAAACUCCCUAGGCUUGUUUUGCAAUCCUCUAAUGAUUGGAGAGAACAUUUUGCUGUGCAGAAGAAUUGCUAAAGAAUUGGAAGGACAAUGACCAGCGGGAGAGGAAAUUAUAAUAUUAAUUUACUAUUGAGUGAUUAUUAAUUGACCUAGCAAUUCUUUUUGCUGGUAUCAAUUCCAGACACACAUGCGCAUGUGUGCGCGCACACACACACACACACACACACACAGGCACAAAGAUGUCUGCUCAGCCCUGGCUGGUGUGGCUCAGUUGGUUGGGCAUCAUCUGUGCACCAGGAGGUUGCCGGUUGGAUUCUGGGUCAAGGGCAUGUGCCGGGGUUGUGGACUCGAUCCCUGAUAGGGUGUGUGCUGGAGGCAGCCGAUCCAUGUUGCACUCUCACAUCCAUGCUUCUCUCUCUCCCCCUCUUAGUGCCUCUCUCUCUAAAAAUCAGUAAACUACUGUUUUU